RNAcentral lists this ribosomal RNA (497 nucleotides) under uncultured bacterium. RNAcentral describes it as "partial 16S ribosomal RNA". It matches the Rfam family "Bacterial small subunit ribosomal RNA", at positions 28 to 507 of the family's 1533-position model. The record is from RNAcentral.
GACGAACGCUGGCGGCGUGCCUAAUACAUGCAAGUUGAGCGCUGAAGGUUGGUACUUGUACCAACUGGAUGAGCAGCGAACGGGUGAGUAACGCGUGGGGAAUCUGCCUUUGAGCGGGGGACAACAUUUGGAAACGAAUGCUAAUACCGCAUAAAAACUUUAAACACAAGUUUUAAGUUUGAAAGAUGCAAUUGCAUCACUCAAAGAUGAUCCCGCGUUGUAUUAGCUAGUUGGUGAGUUAAAGGCUCACCAAGGCGAUGAUACAUAGCCGACCUGAGAGGGUGAUCGGCCACAUUGGGACUGAGACACGGCCCACACUCCUACGGGAGGCAGCAGUAGGGAAUCUUCGGCAAUGGACGCAAGUCUGACCGAGCAACGCCGCGUGAGUGACGAAGGUUUUCGGAUCGUAAAACUCUGUUGGUAGAGAAGAACGUUGGUGAGAGUGGAAAGCUCAUCAAGUGACGGUAACUACCCAGAAAGGGACGGCUAACUACGUG